RNAcentral lists this long non-coding RNA (1042 nucleotides) under Hordeum vulgare. RNAcentral describes it as "long non-coding RNA (HVUL_LNC004546)". Lineage: Eukaryota; Viridiplantae; Streptophyta; Magnoliopsida; Poales; Poaceae. The record is from RNAcentral.
GGACCGCGGGUUUAUUAACUAAAACCGAAGGGGCAUUUUUGCAAAAUUGCCAUCGGCGCUUUAUUAUUCGGGAAGAUUGUAAACAACCUUAGGUCGCGUUUGGUUCGUCGUUUCUUCACGUAUUAAAUCUAACUUACACAUCCAUAACUAUUUUCAGACAAAAAGUGAGGUCGGUAUUUUUCAUACCAGUAUAAUUUAGCAGCAAAACGACAAUCAAACAGGGCCUUAGCCGCCCUGAUUUUUUUUCUUCAAUACUGUUAGUACUACAAUAUAGCAGGAUCGAGCAACCCCGCCCGAGCCACCUUCGUGCACACAGCGUGCCCAUCCUCUUGGUAGCAGUCCAAAUCAAGUGGCCAGUGAAUCCCGAGAAACUGCGCCGCACGUAAACAAGAGGAUGCGCGGAUCUCGUGGCCCAUCCGCAACAAUAAUUCAUCGACAUGACGCCAACGGUUGCAGGGGGCAGCGGGGCGGCGACCUGUCAGUCACUGCUCAACUAGAGAUAGAAGAUAGAUCCAUCCAUCCAACAAUAUGUGAGCACGCGUAGACGUCUACGCGUGCUCACAUAUUGUUGGAUGGAUGGAUCUAUCUUCUAUCUCUAGUUGAGCAGUGACUGACAGGUCGCCGCCCCGCUGCCCCCUGCAACCGUUGGCGUCAUGUCGAUGAAUUAUUGUUGCGGAUGGGCCACGAGAUCCGCGCAUCCUCUUGUUUACGUGCGGCGCAGUUUCUCGGGAUUCACUGGCCACUUGAUUUGGACUGCUACCAAGAGGAUGGGCACGCUGUGUGCACGAAGGUGGCUCGGGCGGGGUUGCUCGAUCCUGCUAUAUUGUAGUACUAACAGUAUUGAAGAAAAAAAAUCAGGGCGGCUAAGGCCCUGUUUGAUUGUCGUUUUGCUGCUAAAUUAUACUGGUAUGAAAAAUACCGACCUCACUUUUUGUCUGAAAAUAGUUAUGGAUGUGUAAGUUAAAUUUAAUACGUGAAGGUACGACGAACCAAACGCGACCUAAGGUUGUUUACAAUCUUCCCGAAUAAUAAAGCGCCGAUG